UUCAUUCAUGAACACCACAUGCAAUUAAUUAAGUCAAAAACCAAGCGAAAAUGCUGCAAACAAAAAAAAUAUUAAACGUAUAUAGCUGAUUUCAUAGUCUAUUCAAGAAGGUAAAUUUAUGGAAUUCAUACCAACAAAAGGAAAUUAUAAGAACAACAACAAUUAGUACUCCCUGUAGGCACUAAAUGAAAUCAUUAACAAUGACGCAAGAUUGAGGGGCCUGAUCCAAUUCAUAUUACCACUGGCAAACAAAGACGAACAUUAUACAGAUAUAUUGAAUUAGAGCACUGGCAUGUGACACUUAUUCUUCAUAGCUAGGUAAGACUAAACCUGACUUUUCAGGAAGAAGGAAUCAUAUUCCGCUAAGCAGUCAAAUUCUUAACAAUGUUGAUAAAUUAAGGGCCAACAUUUUACAACUAUCUUUACAUAGCAUGCUGUGUAACUAAUACUGGCAGAAAUUAAACGACAUUAUAUAACAACUUCAGUGAAAUUUGUUUCUAAAAUAUUGGAAAAACAAUUAUUUACAAGAACCCUAACCCUAGGACUUAAAGCUAUCAAAGGGCACCACUAGAGAAAAUGCAUGUACGAUUCUGAUAAACAUUUUUCCUUCGUUAAAAAAUAGAAUGUGCCCUUUCUUCUAACCCUUUGAUUAUCAUGCACAACAUAUAGAUGAACAACGCAAACACUAGCAUAUAAUUUCACGAACAUGCCCCAACAAAGACAAAAAUCCAAUAUAAUUUCAGUGGUCAAAUCACACAGGAGUAGUACCGUAAUGUGAUAUUGAUGAGCAAAAAACCAAAGAGUCAACUUUGCUAUGUAACAUAAUGCAACAACAACAAUCAAAAUCAAACUAGCUACAUCUUGAACUUACUACUUCAGCGGUUCUUUCAUUGAAGCGAACCUAAAAAUCAAAAGUCUUCAACCAAAGAACAAUAUCAGAG
RNAcentral lists this long non-coding RNA (941 nucleotides) under Glycine max (soybean). Its description in RNAcentral is "long non-coding RNA (GMAX_LNC004052)". The record is from RNAcentral. Lineage: Eukaryota; Viridiplantae; Streptophyta; Magnoliopsida; Fabales; Fabaceae.